This 3442-nucleotide long non-coding RNA is filed under the name Solanum tuberosum (potato). RNAcentral's name for it is "long non-coding RNA (STUB_LNC004173)". Lineage: Eukaryota; Viridiplantae; Streptophyta; Magnoliopsida; Solanales; Solanaceae. The record is from RNAcentral.
UAAUAUAUCAAUAACUUAAUCCUACAUAACUAAUUCAUACAGAUUACAGACACCCUGAUUUAACUAUGAUUUUUUCCUUCAAAACAAAAAUAAUUAGGUAGCUUUCUGGCGUGGAUAAAGGGCAAAAAAAGUAGAUGGGAAUCAUAUUCCCCACUUUAUCACUCAUAAUUAUUGGAGUAAUUACGAAUCACAGAAGAGGAAAAGUCGUAUCUCCUAUAUUGGCGUCUACCUAUAAAUAUGGGUAUCCAAAUAGAGCCGAUAGAAGCAGAGCAUUAUCAACUCAAGUGUUUUUCUUUCAGAGCAGAGCAAAAAUUAAGCUAAAAAAAAUGAGUAGUUCCUUGAAUCCCCGUUACUACCGCACAGCCAAAGUGGAAGAAAUUGAGAAAAAAACAGAAAGGCCGAUGGAGUAUUUCACCAGAGAGAUACAGAGGCCUAAUUCUACGAAUAUGAGGAAGCCGGCGGCAGCGCCAAAGAAGCUGGAGAGCAAGCCAUCGGAAGAUAUCAAUGAAAGUGCGGAGAAUUUCAUAAAUAAGUUUAAGCAACAGCUGGUUCUGCAGAGGCUUGAGUCCAUGGAGAAUUAUGAGCAAAUGCUUAAGAGGGGAACAUAACGACCUCUCUUUCAUUUUAUUUUUCUCAAUUUUUCGCGUCUGUUAUGUAUGAAUUGUUUCAUUGUAUUGCUAUAUGUGUAUUGUGUGUGUGGUCAAUUAGUAAGUCAUAAUUAUAAAUAACUUGUAGUAAUGUAUAAAAACAAAUUAUUACUCGAUCUGUUGAGAUUUGCCUUCUUGCUGCCGUGUUUUACUGCGUCUUUAAUUUUUGUUGUGCUGCUUCAGAGAUGCAUAUUUUUCAACAUAAUUUACUUGCAUUGCUAGUUUUCUUGGUACUAAAAGUGAAAGAUCUUUCUAAAAGAGGUAUCCCCUCGGUGCAUUUGUUGGAUUUAUUCAUACAUAAAAAGACUCAUUUCAAAAAGUGUAUUCUUCUGUUUGAAAAUUUAUUUAUUUUAAAAAGGUAAUCAUGAAUCAGAUCAAACUAUUUUCAUAUUUCUUAAAUUUCGUAACCAAUCAAACUAUAUGCAUAUGGUAGAUAUAUCCUUCUUGGAUCGGGUUUGAGCGGUAUGCAUUUCUUUUUUGUUAAUGAGAGAUCUGAGUUUAAGCCCACGAUAUGGAGUAACAUUUGUUACUUUAACCCCAAUUUGGGAUUAUUAUUUUUUAUAUAAAUUCAGAUUUAAUUGAACUUAAAAGCAAAAAAUAUAGGAUAUGUCUUUCUUGAAUGAUCCUGUUGUGCAAAAAAGAUGAUCCCUUCUAUGCAUAUUAAAGGAGAUUAGGGUAUCUUUAUCUUGUCUUGUCCUUUUUGAAAAUGUGGUGUUGGAAAUCAAAGGAAUAAAAGAGGUUAUUCUGUAACUUUGAACAACUUUUGAAGGUCGUAUCAAAAGCUAGUCAGUAAAUUCUUUAAAAGCUUUUUGGAAAGAUGUUAAAUUGUCCCAGAAGAUUUUAUUUAUGAAGGGUACUGUCUGUACUAGCUACUAACCAUUUCCAAUUUCUGGCUUUCGGCUAGGCAGCCUUGGUGGCAAAUAUGGGACGGAGGGAGUAGCAAUAAAAAAAAAAGAUAUUUAAAGCAGGUCGAGCACAUUUUCAUAUGCUUGACUCAUUAAAAAAAUAUCGUAUGUGAGAGACUUGUUGAAGAUAUAAUUAAAUAUAAAAAAAUUUACUUUUCUCUAUACAACUUAAAUUUUUAGAUGAAAUAAUCAAACAUUCAUAACGUCUACUUAUGAUAGUCGAUAGAAGAUCUUGAUGAUGGCAUAGACCCCAUUGGGCUUUUACGGAGAUUACUCUGCCUCCCAUUGAAGGUAGACAAAGAAGAGAGUAUCAUAUAAGAACACAAUAAUAAAAUCUCUUUGGAGUUUGGACUCAAACCUUCCGGGAGGGCCUGUUGCAGUGAUGAUGUAUUGAGUUGAAACUAGGCUGUCAAAAUGAGCCAUAAAAAAAAAUGAUUCGUCUAACCCAUUUAUAUUUUAAUGGAGGAAUUGGGCUAAACUUUAAUAAAAGCUAAAUUUCUAUUUCAUUAAGCAUGAUACAUUCUAAACUAAGUUUUAUACGGAUUACCCCUCGAAUGGAUACUAUUAUCUAUCCAGACCUACUUUGUUCGGCACAGGUUUAUUUUUUUUUAAAUUUUUUUGAAACUAAAUUUUUACAUCGCUCGAUGUAAGUAUUAUAAGAAUUAAGUUAUACAACAUAAGUUGUGUAGUAUUUUUAAAAAUUUAUCGUAAUAUUUAGAAAUUGGAAUUAAACUUUUUGAGGCAUAGUAUGUUCUUUAUCUUUUUAAAGAAAAAAAUCUGAUAAUUAUUUUUCCCACGUCAUUACCUGAUUAAAAAUUCAUUUUGUCCUAUAUAGAUUGAUAACAUUAAACAUAUCAUUAGUGACAAUUUGACACUAUACAUCUAGUUGGACAUUUUGUCAUCUACUGUUAACAAUGUGGGGAGAAAGGACCCCUUUAAUUAUAAUUACCUUGGUUUUUUGGUUUGUUCCUAUCACGUGAUAAAUGAUAAUCAAACGCUUAAUUAUAGAGCUUGCCUAAUUUCAUGACACGUUUUUUCCCCCCUAAAAUACUCAGGGGUCACUUGGUAUGUGACUUAGGUUUGAGUUAUGAAAAUAUUAUAUUGUGCCUACUACCUAAGUAAUAUUAUGAUUGGUAACUAGUCAGAAGAUUAGUUACUCAAGUAUAAACUAAUUAUUAUGUUUGGUUUAUAAAUUAGAAUUCACAUAACUAAUAUAUGUAUAAAUUAUGAGAAUAAAUUUAUGUACUAUUUUAUACCGAAAAAGGGAGAUAAAGUGACUUGUACAUAAGUAAUUCAUACACAAAAUGACAUAAAAAAUCAUAAAUUUUCUCAUCACUAAUUUAUAUAUUACUACGCAUAUUCGCAUAACUUUCACAUGCAACAAACGAUCCUAAUUUAACUAUGAAUUUUUCGUUAAAAAUUAAGUAGAUGGGAAUCAUAUUCCCCACUUACACAAUCAUAAUUAGAUUAAUUACGAAUCAUAGAACAGGAAAAGUUGGAUCUCUUAUAUUGGCGUCUACCUAUAAAUAUGGCUAUCCAAAAAGCCGAUAGGAGCAGAGCAUUAUCAACUUGAGUGUUUUUUUUUUAGAACAGAGCAGAAAUUAAGCUAAAAAUGAGUAGUUCCUUGAAUUCCCUUUACUACCGCACAACCAAAGUGGAAGAAAUUGAGAAAAAAACAGAAAGGCAGAUGGAGUAUUUCACCAGAGAGAUACAGAGGCCUAAUUCUACGAAUAUGUGGAAUCCGGCGACGGCGCCAAAGAAGUUGGAGAGCAAGCCAUCGGAAGAUAUCAAUGAAAGUGCGGAGAAUUUCAUAAAGAAGUUUAAGCAACAGUUGCUUCUCCAGAGGCUUGAGUCCAUGGAGAACUAUGAGCAAAUGCUUAAGAGGGGAAC